AUGGAGAAGCCAAGUACAUGAACGUCCUCCAAGAAGUAGUAAAUUGAAACAUUUCUGCUGUUGAGAUCGAGCUCGAGGACUCAGUCGAUUACAAGGACUUAGAUGAAGAAUUUCUUAGACGGGUCACUUAAAAUACUCAGUGAUAUAUUGGAAUUUUCACCGAGGCCUUUGAUGAGCUCAUGCCAGAACCCACGGAGCCCUUUCCGGAUGAUGAUCACGACAUGCUUUUAAUCCAGAGGUCUGAAGAUAACAGAGAAAAUGUGGACGGUGUGGAUCCACUUCAGAAGAUGCCUUCUGAAAUCAAACUAUACUUUGAAGUUGACAAUAGAGCAUCUUCGAAAGGACGGCCAUUAACUAUUAGAGAGGUCAAAGCAUCUUAUAUUGGUCAGCUAGUAAGGACAUCUGCAAUCAUUACACGCUGUCCAGAUGUCAAGCCGUUGAUGCAAGUGGCUGUUUAUAAGUGUGAACAUCUGCAUCAUGUGUUCUUGUUGUGAUUUGAACAUGUUCACGCAGCUUCUUAGUUUGAUCAUCCUUCGAAAUCAACAUCUGCAUCUCCAAGGGCGAUGGUGAUUGCGUACCCCAGUGCACGCAACCUCAGUGGGAAGAUCUCCGAGCUUUACACCCAUAUGAUUGGCCCCAUCCUAAUGGAGAAGAAGGCCGCAUAGGACAACACCGAGGAGAUGCACAUGGUCACCGCCCACAUGAGCUUUGUGUGGCUGUGGUCGAUGACAAUGAGGCUCCUACUGAUAGAGUCGAGCGAGAUGAUCAUCCCGCCGAUGCUACUCGCAGCAACGAUUGGGCGGCAACCGUUGUUGCUAAAUAGUGUCGGCAAGAUGAUCUUCUCGCUCGCCUCUCUCAGAAUGUGUCUCACCAUCAUCGCCCAUAGCAACAUGAAACCCAUAUUGGCCGUGGUCAUGUGAAUCACCUCAUUGUCCUAGGUGGCCUUCUUCUCCAUCGGGAUGGGGCCAGUCACAUGGGUGUACUUCUCAAAGAUCUUUCCGCAGAGGUUGCGUGCGCUGGAGUGCGUAAUCGCUGUUGCUGUUAAUCAGGUGAUGAGAGCAGUGUCAUCGAUGAUGUAUGCGUCGUUGUACAAUGCAAUCAUUUUCCAAAGGUCCUUCUUCUUGUUCGCGGUGAUUGUGAGUGUCACUUGGGACUUCUUUUGCAUGAUGAAGCCGGAGACACGGGCGAAUAUCGGAGAAGAUGGGGCAGUUUUCAGUAAAUAAGCUAAGUCCAACAUUUUCAUUCAUUCGGUUUUCUGUAGCUGGUUUAGUUGAAUCGUGUCGUUCCUCUUUUGUUGAUUCGCAGAGAUAUUGCCGUUGAGAAUAGCUUACUCACAUGCUGCCGCCUUUCACUGGAGUUGCACCACCCUCCAGUCUUUCUGGUCUUUAUCACCAACUCAUCAUUUGGUCAUGGAUAAGCUAAGUCCAACAUUUUCGGUCAUUCGUGGUGCUCGGGGACGUGCAGUGUACGAUGGAGGAGUGCAGGCGCAUGAUCGCGGAGGUGGACAAGAACGGGGACGGGUUCGUGUACUUCGAGGACUUCGCUUCACACAGAACUGCAUGAAAUCGAGAGCAGGCGAUUGCCGUCCAGAUUAAAGAGUUGCUUAAUUCCAUGAGAAACGGAGAAUCUCUAGUUUGAUUAGGCUUGAUUUGACUGUUACAUGAAAUAUGCAAGCACGAACGU
Long non-coding RNA from Syzygium oleosum, 1683 nucleotides. RefSeq lists it as uncharacterized. The record is from RefSeq and is a predicted model, not a curated record. The transcript has 6 exons. Lineage: Eukaryota; Viridiplantae; Streptophyta; Magnoliopsida; Myrtales; Myrtaceae.